Chenopodium quinoa (quinoa) is the source of this 971-nucleotide long non-coding RNA. RefSeq lists it as uncharacterized. NCBI's taxonomy places the organism in Eukaryota, Viridiplantae, Streptophyta, Magnoliopsida, Caryophyllales, Amaranthaceae. The transcript is spliced from 4 exons. The record is from RefSeq and is a predicted model, not a curated record.
UGCGUAGUAAAUGCCUUGUCACCUACACUUAGAAACAAAGGGCUAAAAAUAGGCCUCCCAAUGUAAUUUGUAGGGUGGAUGCUUGGAGCAAACUGAUAAAUGACCUUGAUUCGACAAGAGUUGAAGCUGUCAAGGCAAUGGUUUUUGGUGGGUUGUUGGAAAUUAAGCUAAAUUUCCUCCUACAACAACUUAUGUUAUUGGUUGAUGUCUAGGGUUGUUUGCGAUGCCCUUGUUAUUGGUGAUAUGGAGUUUCCUUUGUGCCCCGUUCAAGUUAAUUGUGUUCUUGGAUUACCUAUGGGACAAUUACAAGUCCCAAAUGUUGUAGGCGUAGGAGAAGCAACUCCUGAGUUGGUUGAUGUUGUUGUUGAAAGAUAUGGUACCCUUCAAGAAAAUAUUGACGAAGAUGGUAAUGUUAGGUCGAUUGUUAAAAUUAGUGUUGAUGAAGCAGUGCUUGAUGUAGUACGAAAGGACGACAAAGGUGAUGAUGUACCGUAGGAUACCGAUGAUGAUCGGAGAAAGUUCCAGAUUGCUUUCCUUGUGGCUGCUUUAGAUUUGAUUUUGUGUCCCACAACAGAUGGUAGUGUCCUGGCAACAAGUUUUUGCCCCUUGUCACAGUUGCUUCCAAAGAAGCUAAUUACGAUUGGUGCUCUUUUGUUCUAGAUUGGCUGUUAGAUUAUGCUAAGAUGUUUCUGAAAAGGUUUGAUGCCAAGGGAUAUGUUGGUGGUUGUGGAGGGUGUACACUUUUUUUAGCGACAUUUUAUUUGGAUCACUUGAAAAGAACCACCAGUUCAAUGGAAUGUCUUUCCACGGGUGAUGGUGUGGGAUUCAGAGUUAGUGCGCCGAGUGUUGGAAACUGAUAGGACUAAAACUAAGGACUAUGGAGAGUUUGGUGUUGUUGAUGCUUCUUAUGGGCAUAAACAUUCGAGGAUUCAUAGGGAUGGUACUUAUACAUUCGCUGAGGAAGAUUCAUC